AGUGAACGCUGGCGGCGUGCUUAACACAUGCAAGUCGAACGAGAACGGGCUAUAGCUUGCUAUAGUUGUCAGCUAAGUGGCGCACGGGUGAGUAAUGUAUAGGUAAUAUGCCUCUUACUAAGGGAUAACAAAUGGAAACGUUUGCUAAUACCUUAUACUCCUUAUUAACAUAAGUUAUUAAGGGAAAGAUUUAUUGGUAAGAGAUUAGCCUGUAUUGUAUCAGUUAGUUGGUGGGGUAAUGGCUUACCAAGACUAUGACACAUAACUGGUUUGAGAGGAUGAUCAGUCACACUGGAACUGAGACACGGUCCAGACUCCUACGGGAGGCAGCAGUGGGGAAUAUUGCACAAUGGACGAAAGUCUGAUGCAGCCACGCCGCGUGGAGGAUGACACAUUUCGGUGCGUAAACUCCUUUUAUAUGAGAAGAUAAUGACGGUAUUAUAUGAAUAAGCACCGGCUAACUCCGUGCCAGCAGCCGCAGUAA
This 484-nucleotide ribosomal RNA is filed under the name uncultured bacterium. Its description in RNAcentral is "partial 16S ribosomal RNA". It matches the Rfam family "Bacterial small subunit ribosomal RNA", at positions 29 to 523 of the family's 1533-position model. The record is from RNAcentral.